AUACUACUCCCUCGGUCCGAGAAUACUUGUCAUCAAAAUGGAUAAAAAGAGAUAUAUCUAAAACUAAAAUGCGUCUACAGACAUUCCUUUUUAUCCAUUUUGAUGACAAGUAUUUUCGGACGGAGGGAGUACCUU
Non-coding RNA from Triticum urartu, 135 nucleotides. The record is from Rfam. Lineage: Eukaryota; Viridiplantae; Streptophyta; Magnoliopsida; Poales; Poaceae.